UACGAAGGGGGCUAGCGUUGCUCGGAAUCACUGGGCGUAAAGCGCACGUAGGCGGACUCUUAAGUCGGUGGUGAAAUCCUGGAGCUCAACUCCAGAACUGCCUUCGAUACUGAGAGUCUUGAGUCCGAGAGAGGUGAGUGGAACUGCGAGUGUAGAGGUGAAAUUCGUAGAUAUUCGCAAGAACACCAGUGGCGAAGGCGGCUCACUGGCUCGGUACUGACGCUGAGGUGCGAAAGCGUGGGGAGCAAACAGG
This 253-nucleotide ribosomal RNA is filed under the name uncultured bacterium. Its description in RNAcentral is "partial 16S ribosomal RNA". It matches the Rfam family "Bacterial small subunit ribosomal RNA", at positions 524 to 776 of the family's 1533-position model. RNAcentral also lists the same sequence under 1 other name. The record is from RNAcentral.